AUGGUUUACGGAGCAGAAGAAGUGUUGCCUAGUGACAUCCGUCAUGACUCGCCCCGUGUGGCGGCUUAUGUUGAAGCAAACAAUGAAAAAGCCAGACAGGUUGUGCUUGACUUGCUGGAUGAAGAAAGGGACUUAGCAGUGACACGGUCAGCAAUUUAUCAACAGGACCUGCGUCGUUAUCACAGCCACCGGGUUAAGUCCAGGACUUUUCAGGAAGGCGACUUGGUGCUCCGGCUCAUCCAGGAUCUUUCAGAUGCACACAAGUUAUCCCCACCUUGGGAGGGACCCUUUGUGGUUAGUAAAAAUUUAAACAAUGGGUCAUACUACCUCAUUGACGUUCGAGAGCAUGCAGACUCACGUAAGUCGGAAGAGGAGACCCGCCGGUCAUGGAACAUUGCUCAACUUCGGCCAUAUUACACCUGA
RNAcentral lists this ribosomal RNA (423 nucleotides) under Triticum aestivum (bread wheat). RNAcentral's name for it is "partial small subunit ribosomal RNA". The record is from RNAcentral. Lineage: Eukaryota; Viridiplantae; Streptophyta; Magnoliopsida; Poales; Poaceae.